Molecule: long non-coding RNA, 1265 nt
Organism: Ictalurus furcatus (blue catfish)
Lineage: Eukaryota; Metazoa; Chordata; Actinopteri; Siluriformes; Ictaluridae
Exons: 3
Source: RefSeq, a predicted model, not a curated record
UUCAGUGUGUGUAUAGUGUGUGUGUGUGAGAGUGUGUUUCAGUGUGUGUAUUGUGUGUGUAGGUGUGAGAGUGUGUGUUUCAGGGUGUGUAUAGUGUGUAGGUGUGAGAGUGUGUGUUUCAGGGUGUGUAUACUGUGUGUAGGUGUGUGAGGGUGUGUUUCAGGGUGUGUAUUGUGUGUGUAGGUGUGUGAGGGUGUGUUUCAGGGUGUGUAUUGUGUGUGUAGGUGUGAGAGUGUGUGUUUCAGGGUGUGUAUUGUGUGUGUAGGUGUGAGAGUGUGUGUUUCAGGGUGUGUAUAGUGUGUAGGUGUGAGAGUGUGUGUUUCAGGGUGUGUAUAGUGUGUGUAGGUGUGUGAGGGUGUGUUUCAGUGUGUGUAUAGUGUGUGUAGGUGUGUGAGGGUGUGUUUCAGGGUGUGUAUUGUGUGUGUAGGUGUGUGAGGGUGUGUUUCAGGGUGUGUAUAGUGUGUGUAGGUGUGAGAGUGUGUGUUUCAGGGUGUGUAUUGUGUGUGUAGGUGUGUGAGUGUGUGUUUCAGGGUGUGUAUAGUGUGUGUAGGUGUGAGAGUGUGUGUUUCAGUGUGUGUAUUGUGUGUGUAGGUGUGAGAGUGUGUGUUUCAGGGUGUUUAUUGUGUGUGUAGGUGUGAGAGGGUGUGUUUCAGGGUGUGUAUUGUGUGUGUAGGUGUGUGAGGGUGUGUUUCAGGGUGUGUAUAGUGUGUGUAGGUGUGAGAGUGUGUGUUUCAGGGUGUGUAUAGUGUGUGUAGGUGUGUGAGGGUGUGUUUCAGGGUGUGUAUUGUGUGUGUAGGUGUGAGAGUGUGUGUUUCAGGGUGUGUAUUGUGUGUGUAGGUGUGAGAGUGUGUGUUUCAGGGUGUGUAUUGUGUGUGUAGGUGUGUGAGGGUGUGUUUCAGGGUGUGUAUAGUGUGUGUAGGUGUGAGAGUGUGUGUUUCAGUGUGUGUAUUGUGUGUGUAGGUGUGAGAGUGUGUGUUUCAGGGUGUUUAUUGUGUGUGUAGGUGUGAGAGGGUGUGUUUCAGGGUGUGUAUUGUGUGUGUAGGUGUGUGAGGGUGUGUUUCAGGGUGUGUAUAGUGUGUGUAGGUGUGAGAGUGUGUGUUUCAGGGUGUGUAUUGUGUGUGUAGGUGUGUGAGUGUGUGUUUCAGGGUGUGUAUAGUGUGUGUAGGUGUGAGAGUGUGUGUUUCAGUGUGUGUAUUGUGUGUGUAGGUGUGUGAGGGUGUGUUUCAGUGUGUGUAUUGUGUGUGUAGGUGUGUGAGGGUGUGUUU